RNAcentral lists this transfer RNA (85 nucleotides) under Felis catus (domestic cat). It matches the Rfam family "tRNA". From Rfam's summary of the family: Transfer RNA (tRNA) molecules are approximately 80 nucleotides in length. Their secondary structure includes four short double-helical elements and three loops (D, anti-codon, and T loops). The record is from Rfam by way of RNAcentral. Lineage: Eukaryota; Metazoa; Chordata; Mammalia; Carnivora; Felidae.
GCCUGGGUGGCUCAGUCGGUUGAGCGUCCGACUUCGGCUCAGGUCAUGAGCUCACGGUCUGUGGGUUCGAGCCCCGCGUCGGGCU